GACGAACGCUGGCGGCGUGCCUAAUACAUGCAAGUAGAACGCUGAAGCUUGGUGCUUGCACCGAGCGGAUGAGUUGCGAACGGGUGAGUAACGCGUAGGUAACCUGCCUGGUAGCGGGGGAUAACUAUUGGAAACGAUAGCUAAUACCGCAUAAGAGUAGAUGUUGCAUGACAUUUGCUUAAAAGGUGCAAUUGCAUCACUACCAGAUGGCCCUGCGUUGUAUUAGCUAGUUGGUGAGGUAACGGCUCACCAAGGCAACGAUACAUAGCCGACCUGAGAGGGUGAUCGGCCACACUGGGACUGAGACACGGCCCAGACUCCUACGGGAGGCAGCAGUAGGGAAUCUUCGGCAAUGGACGGAAGUCUGACCGAGCAACGCCGCGUGAGUGAAGAAGGUUGUCGGAUCGUAAAGCUCUGUUGUAAGAGAAGAACGAGUGUGAGAGUGGAAAGUUCACACUGUGACGGUAUCUUACCAGAAAGGGACGGCUAACUACGUG
This 497-nucleotide ribosomal RNA is filed under the name uncultured bacterium. RNAcentral describes it as "partial 16S ribosomal RNA". It matches the Rfam family "Bacterial small subunit ribosomal RNA", at positions 28 to 507 of the family's 1533-position model. The record is from RNAcentral.